AUGACCGCCUUAGGGUGCAAGUUUGAUCCUGGUCCAAUCAGAACUCGUCAAGUGGAGCCAGCUCGGCUGGGCCGGAGGGCAUUUGUGCAACCGGGCAUGAACAUGCCCGCCCAGGCGGAGCGUAGCUCGAAGAGAAUGCUCGGCAAGUUCCUUCUGAACGAGAGGCACCUGUUCAUAGCCGCGCCGAGCGGGGGACCGUGUGAUGUCUACCUCUUCUUCGGGAUAAUCGGCAUCCUGCAAGACUACGACAUAACCAAGAAGCUGGAGCACGCCUACAAGUCUUUCCAGGUCAACCCUGGCUGCAUUUCUGCUGUGGAUCCCAAGCUCUACUCGAGGAGGUUCCAGGAUUUCAUUUGCAGGGUGUUCGUGAAACAACAGCAAUGUGCUGAAGCCCAACACAAAGCCCAGUUUCAGAUCGAUCAUCCAAUCUGCGCCUGCCGCCCCUGGCUGCGAUGCUAA
Molecule: ribosomal RNA, 459 nt
Filed under: Triticum aestivum (bread wheat)
Lineage: Eukaryota; Viridiplantae; Streptophyta; Magnoliopsida; Poales; Poaceae
Description: partial small subunit ribosomal RNA
Source: RNAcentral